GAUGAAGAACGUAGCGAAAUGCGAUAAGUAAUGUGAAUUGCAGAAUUCAGUGAAUCAUCGAAUCUUUGAACGCACAUUGCGCCCGCCAGUAUUCUGGCGGGCAUGCCUGACCGAGCGUCAUUUCAACCCUCGAACCCCUCCGGGGGGUCGGCGUUGGGGAUCGGCCCUGCCUUUGGCGGUGGCCGUCUCCGAAAUACAGUGGCGGUCUCGCCGCAGCCUCUCCUGCGCAGUAGUUUGCACACUCGCAUCGGGAGCGCGGCGCGUCCACAGCCGUUAAACACCCAACUUCUGAAAUGUUGACCUCGGAUCAGGUAGGAAUACCCGCUGAACUUAAGCAUAUCAAUAAGCGGAGGA
Molecule: unclassified non-coding RNA, 354 nt
Filed under: soil metagenome
Description: partial contains 5.8S ribosomal RNA, internal transcribed spacer 2, and large subunit ribosomal RNA
Rfam family: 5.8S ribosomal RNA (bases 1-120)
Source: RNAcentral